This 352-nucleotide ribosomal RNA is filed under the name uncultured bacterium. RNAcentral describes it as "bacterial SSU rRNA". It matches the Rfam family "Bacterial small subunit ribosomal RNA", at positions 335 to 679 of the family's 1533-position model. The record is from RNAcentral.
ACUCCUACGGGAGGCAGCAGUGGGGAAUAUUGCACAAUGGGGGAAACCCUGAUGCAGCCAUGCCGCGUGUGUGAAGAAGGCCUUCGGGUUGUAAAGCACUUUCAGUAGGGAGGAAGGUAGUGUAGUUAACACCUGCAUUAUUUGUACGUUACCUACAGAAGAAGCACCGGCUAACUCCGUGCCAGCAGCCGCGGUAAUACGGAGGGUGCGAGCGUUAAUCGGAAUUACUGGGCGUAAAGCGCAUGCAGGCGGCCUGUUAAGUCAGAUGUGAAAGCCCGGGGCUUAACCUCGGAAUUGCAUUUGAAACUGGCAGGCUAGAGUCUUGUAGAGGGGUUAGAAUUUCAGGUGUAGC